RNAcentral lists this ribosomal RNA (510 nucleotides) under uncultured bacterium. RNAcentral describes it as "partial 16S ribosomal RNA". It matches the Rfam family "Bacterial small subunit ribosomal RNA", at positions 28 to 507 of the family's 1533-position model. The record is from RNAcentral.
GACGAACGCUGGCGGCGUGCUUAACACAUGCAAGUCGAACGAAGAGCGAUGGAAGCUUGCUUCUAUCAAUCUUAGUGGCGAACGGGUGAGUAACGCGUAAUCAACCUGCCCUUCAGAGGGGGACAACAGUUGGAAACGACUGCUAAUACCGCAUACGAUCUAAUCUCGGCAUCGAGGAUAGAUGAAAGGUGGCCUCUACAUGUAAGCUAUCACUGAAGGAGGGGAUUGCGUCUGAUUAGCUAGUUGGUGGGGUAACGGCCCACCAAGGCGAUGAUCAGUAGCCGGUCUGAGAGGAUGAACGGCCACAUUGGGACUGGGACACGGCCCAGACUCCUACGGGAGGCAGCAGUGGGGAAUCUUCCGCAAUGGAGGAAAGUCUGACGGGGCAACGCCGCGUGAGUGAUGACGGCCUUCGGGUUGUAAAGCUCUGUUAAUCGGGACGAAAGGCCUUCUUGCGAAUAGUGAGAAGGAUUGACGGUACCGGAAUAGAAAGCCACGGCUAACUACGUG